CAGUCGCCACGGUAAUACGGAGGGUGCAAGCGUUAAUCGGAAUUACUGGGCGUAAAGCGUGCGUAGGCGGCUUCUUAAGUCGGAUGUGAAAUCCCUGAGCUUAACUUAGGAAUUGCAUUCGAUACUGGGAAGCUAGAGUAUGGGAGAGGAUGGUAGAAUUCCAGGUGUAGCGGUGAAAUGCGUAGAGAUCUGGAGGAAUACCGAUGGCGAAGGCAGCCAUCUGGCCUAAUACUGACGCUGAGGUACGAAAGCAUGGGGAGCAAACAGGAUUAGAUACCCCCGUAGUCCCUGUCUCUUAUAC
This 301-nucleotide ribosomal RNA is filed under the name uncultured bacterium. Its description in RNAcentral is "partial 16S ribosomal RNA". It matches the Rfam family "Bacterial small subunit ribosomal RNA", at positions 509 to 807 of the family's 1533-position model. The record is from RNAcentral.